Lathyrus oleraceus (garden pea) is the source of this 700-nucleotide long non-coding RNA. RefSeq lists it as uncharacterized. The transcript is spliced from 3 exons. The record is from RefSeq and is a predicted model, not a curated record. Lineage: Eukaryota; Viridiplantae; Streptophyta; Magnoliopsida; Fabales; Fabaceae.
CAGCACAUAAAAAUAAUAUGUUAUCUCUCUUCAUCCACCUUCAUCUCCCUUCAUCUAAAAAUCCUAGCCACCGUUCCUCACCACCUCCACCACGAACACAACGAUCAACACUCAUCCUCAACAAAACACAAAUCCAACAUAUCUCUCACAAACCAAAAAAGAAAUCACUCAUCAUCUUGACAAUCUAUCAUUCAUAGAUUGUUUAUAGUUAUUUGUAAGGUCUUCGACCAACUUCAAGAUGUUGCAUAGAGUAUGUUUAUUUGUGGGGUUUGAUUCAUUAUAAUAUUUAAUUUAUUUAUGCUGGAUUUGGGGUUUUUAUUGUUUAAAUGCAAAAAUAAAUAUGACAGGGUUACUGAUUAGGUGGUGUUGAAUUCAAAUCCUAUGUUAGUUUAGAUGAGAUCAUGAUACUGGUGUUUUUCUCUUUCAAGCAGAAACAAGAAGAAUUGUGGGUCAUGCCAACUUCUAGAAAUUGCUCUGAUUGAUCUAGAAAAGUCAUUAAUGCAAAGUUGAUGAAGAUCAACUGUUAUAUAAAAUUGAUCUAGGUGCAAUGAGAAACACUUAUAAUUUAAGGACCAAAACAUUCAACAGGUAUUCCGAGUCCUAUCAUCCAAACACCAACAAUUUGCAACUGUUUGAUGCCAUGCUUUCAAAAUUUCUCUUGUUACUCGUGUAUUUUGAGUUUUUGUAAAUGAUACAUUGA